AGCUGGCUGAGGUAUAUUUCUCUAUUGCUUCUAUGGAAAUGCUGUACUUCUGAUAAUGUGUGUGGCCAUCCACCAGAAGUUGAUUUUGGAAGGCUUGUAAGAGCUUAUGGAAUUGAAGACGGGGAAGACUCAUAUGGUGCUGCAACAUUUGAGUGCCUCCCUGGCUAUGUCUUGGAAGGAUCUGAAGAAGUAAAGUGCACUUACUACGAAAAGUGGGGACCUCUACCAAAGUGUUUGGUUCCAAUUCUAUCAGCACUCAACUAUUUGAAGAAGGACCGAGGGGACAGGAGCAGGCAGAAGUAACAUCGGGACCUGCUCCUGCUGGACUCUUCCCCCCCCCACACAGGGCAAACUGCCAUCUUGGCCCUGUGGGGAAGAAGAAGGACCGAGGGGACAGGAGCAGGCAGAAGUAA
Molecule: long non-coding RNA, 413 nt
Organism: Elgaria multicarinata webbii
Lineage: Eukaryota; Metazoa; Chordata; Lepidosauria; Squamata; Anguidae
Exons: 3
Source: RefSeq, a predicted model, not a curated record